Molecule: ribosomal RNA, 550 nt
Filed under: uncultured Glomus
Lineage: Eukaryota; Fungi; Glomeromycota; Glomeromycetes; Glomerales; Glomeraceae
Description: SSU rRNA
Rfam family: Eukaryotic small subunit ribosomal RNA
Source: RNAcentral
UUGGAGGGCAAGUCUGGUGCCAGCAGCCGCGGUAAUUCCAGCUCCAAUGGCGUAUAUUAAAGUUGUUGCAGUUAAAAAGCUCGUAGUUGAAUUUCGGGAUCAAUAUUUCGGUCAUGCCGUUGGUAUGCACUGUUAUCAUUGAUUUCUCACCUUCUAAAGAACCGUAAUGCCAUUAAUUUGGUGUUACGGGGAAUUAGGACGUUUACCUUGAAAAAAUUAGAGUGUUUAAAGCAGGCUCACGCUUGAAUACAUUAGCAUGGAAUAAUGAAAUAGGACAUCCGAUUCUAUUUUGUUGGUUUCUAGGAUCGAUGUAAUGAUUAAUAGGGAUAGUUGGGGGCAUUAGUAUUCAAUUGUCAGAGGUGAAAUUCUUGGAUUUAUUGAAGACUAACUACUGCGAAAGCAUUUGCCAAGGGUGUUUUCAUUAAUCAAGAACGAAAGUUAGGGGAUCGAAGACGAUCAGAUACCGUUGUAGUCUUAACCAUAAACUAUGCCGACUAGGGAUCGGAUGAUGUUAAUUUUUUAAUGACUCAUUCGGCGCCUUACGGGAAAC